AUCUCCUUGACUUGGAGACUUGCAUAGCUUCUGUAGGACAGUAAGAGCAGUUGCCCGUUUGGGCCGAGCCUUUGGCACAGCCUUGGCCGAUAACUGAAGGCAGUACUCAGGUUGCACCAUAGAAUUCAAAGAGACAAUCUGCCCUCAUUGCACCAUAAGCAUGUGAGUGUUUCGGAUCGGCACCGUAUGAAGUGGGAUUAGCAGCCAACUGACUGACUGUGUUCGCUUGCGUGUGUUGCACCAUGUGAAAGCCAGUGCUGCUGCUGCACCUACAGAACCUACAUUUUAGACUGCAGCAAAAGAAAGCCAUUUUUGUCUUUUUACAUCGAGUAGCACCACAGGAAAAGUAAAAAAUGUAAGCUCACUUCCACCUUUGCACAUUGGGAUUUUUAAACAAGGCUUUGAACCAGUUCAAGGAAGGAAAACAAAAUCAGAAACUUCAUAUAUUUGAAAAAUGUUCAUUUACUACAAACUACAAAAUAUUUUCUGCAAGCAACAACGUGGUGCUGACAUCACUUCCUGUCUUCCUCUAGAUGUUGUACAUGUCUUUGAAUGGCAUAGAGAAAUUAACAUGCAAAAGGUAAUUAAAGCAGCAUGAUAGUAUUUGUGUAAUUGUGUGGGU
Molecule: long non-coding RNA, 622 nt
Organism: Thalassophryne amazonica
Lineage: Eukaryota; Metazoa; Chordata; Actinopteri; Batrachoidiformes; Batrachoididae
Exons: 3
Source: RefSeq, a predicted model, not a curated record